CGUAACACGUGAGCAACCUACCGAAAUGAGGGGGAUAGCCGGCCCAACGGCCGGGUAAUACCGCAUACGCUCGAGGAGAGGCAUUUCAUCUCGAGGAAACCUCCGGGGCAUUUCGAGGGGCUCGCGGCCUAUCAGCUAGUUGGUGAGGUAACGGCUCACCAAGGCGACGAUCAGUAGCUGGUCCUGAGAGGACUGAUCAGCCACAUUGGGACUGAGACACGGCCCAA
Molecule: ribosomal RNA, 227 nt
Filed under: uncultured bacterium
Lineage: Bacteria
Description: partial 16S ribosomal RNA
Rfam family: Bacterial small subunit ribosomal RNA
Source: RNAcentral